UACGGGGGGAGCAAGCGUUGUUCGGAUUUACUGGGCGUAAAGCGCACGUAGGCGGAUUGUUAAGUCAGGGGUGAAAUUCUGGAGCUCAACUCCAGAACUGCCUUUGAUACUGGCAAUCUCGAGUCCGGAAGAGGUGAGUGGAACUCCUAGUGUAGAGGUGGAAUUCGUAGAUAUUAGGAAGAACACCAGUGGCGAAGGCGGCUCACUGGUCCGGUACUGACGCUGAGGUGCGAAAGCGUGGGGAGCAAACAGG
Molecule: ribosomal RNA, 253 nt
Filed under: uncultured bacterium
Lineage: Bacteria
Description: partial 16S ribosomal RNA
Rfam family: Bacterial small subunit ribosomal RNA
Source: RNAcentral